CUGAAACGGAGCCGUUGGCAAGUGCUAGUCGGAAGCAGCUGAAAAACACGGCACCCAGCAACUAAACGGUCUCCUUCCUCUCCGCACUUCCUGCCGCAGAGGUCUAGAAGUGUGCAUCAGCAGAGCAACAGCGCCCCACCGGAAAGGACUAUUGUUAUGUGGCCGUUGAUGACAGCGGGUAAGUCGGAAUGAGUCGAACCAGCUUUACUGAUGGUGCAGCGGUCGUUGUUACUUGCGGUGUUUCUCUGCACUGCAUGUGGCGUGUUGAAGUAAAAACGCAGCGUCGGCAGAAAGGUGUGUUCGAGUGGCACAUUGUGU
Molecule: long non-coding RNA, 318 nt
Organism: Cryptotermes secundus
Lineage: Eukaryota; Metazoa; Arthropoda; Insecta; Blattodea; Kalotermitidae
Exons: 3
Source: RefSeq, a predicted model, not a curated record